UGCCUACGGGACGCAGCAGUGAGGAAUAUUGGUCAAUGGGCGGAAGCCUGAACCAGCCAAGUCGCGUGAGGGAAUAAGGCCCUACGGGUCGUAAACCCCUUUUGCCGGGGAGCAAGGGCCGGGACGCGUCCCGGCCCGGAGAGUACCCGGAGAAAAAGCAUCGGCUAACUCCGUGCCAGCAGCCGCGGUGAUACGGAGGAUGCGAGUGUUAUCCGGAUUUAUUGGGUUUAAAGGGUGCGUAGGCGGGCUUUUAAGUCAGCGGUAAAAAUUCGAGGCUCAACCCCGUCCGGCCGGUGAAACUGGGG
This 305-nucleotide ribosomal RNA is filed under the name uncultured bacterium. Its description in RNAcentral is "bacterial SSU rRNA". It matches the Rfam family "Bacterial small subunit ribosomal RNA", at positions 335 to 638 of the family's 1533-position model. The record is from RNAcentral.